GAUGAAGAACGUAGCGAAAUGCGAUACGUAAUGUGAAUUGCAGAAUUCAGUGAAUCAUCGAAUCUUUGAACGCAUAUUGCGCUCUUUGGUAUUCCGAAGAGCAUGCUUGUUUGAGUAUCAGUAAACACCUCAACCUCUUCUUGAUUUUUCAAAAGGAGGGUGGACUUGAGCUAUCCCAACAACCUUUACCGGUCGGCGGGCGGCUUGAAAUGCAGGUGCAGCUGGACUUUUAUCUGAGCUAAAAGCAUAUCUAUUUAGCCUCGUCAAACAGGAUUAUUACUUUUGCUGCAGCUAACAUAAAGGAUAAUUGUCCUCUUUGCUGACUGAUGCAGGAUUUUACGACACUUUAUGUGUUGUUCAACUCGAUCUCAAAUCAAGUAAGACUACCCGCUGAACUUAAGCAUAUCAAUAAGCGGAGGA
This 420-nucleotide unclassified non-coding RNA is filed under the name soil metagenome. Its description in RNAcentral is "partial contains 5.8S ribosomal RNA, internal transcribed spacer 2, and large subunit ribosomal RNA". The stretch from base 1 to 120 matches the Rfam family "5.8S ribosomal RNA", at positions 35 to 154 of the family's 154-position model. The record is from RNAcentral.